This is a small nucleolar RNA of Gossypium arboreum, 107 nucleotides long. It matches the Rfam family "Plant small nucleolar RNA R71". From Rfam's summary of the family: R71 is a member of the C/D box family of snoRNAs containing the C (UGAUGA) and D (CUGA) box motifs. Multiple nearly identical copies of this snoRNA have been identified in Arabidopsis, and it is thought to function as a 2'-O-ribose methylation guide for 18S ribosomal RNA. The record is from Rfam. Lineage: Eukaryota; Viridiplantae; Streptophyta; Magnoliopsida; Malvales; Malvaceae.
AUCCCAUGAUGAGGACACUUACGAAGUAACUCCUUGAAUCGCUCCCAAGUAUCACACAAAGACUCGUUAUGCAAUUGUUGGAAUGUUGUGAUCUCGUUCCUCAACUU